GCGUUAGGACUGCGGAGACAUUAGCGAAGCUCGGAAUGCCAGUCCGGUACUGCAGCUGCCCAGCGAUGGGAUGUGCUCGUCUGGGCUGGUGUCCCUUCUCUAUUCCACCCCACUGUGAACCAAGCGUGCGAGCAGAAGAGAGAUCGGAAGCUCGCAUGCUCACUUUAACAUACCCCCGAUUAAGUAUCUGAAUGUACCUUGCGUUAACUCGCACAAAUACAACUUUCAACAACGGAUCUCUUGGCUCUCGCAUCGAUGAAGAACGCAGCGAAAUGCGAUAAGUAAUGUGAAUUGCAGAAUUCAGUGAAUCAUCGAAUCUUUGAACGCACCUUGCGCCCCUUGGCAUUCCGAGGGGCACGCCUGUUCGAGUGUCGUGAACUCCUCCACCCCCUACCUUUUUCGAAAGGUAUUGGGCUGGGAUUUGGGAGCUUGCGGGUCCCUGGUCGAUCCGCUCUCCUUGAAUGCAUUAGCGAAGCCCUUGCGGCCUUGGUGUGAUAGUCAUCUACGCCUCGGCUUAGCGAAUCUAUGGGAGUCGCUUCCAACCGUCCCACUGGGACAAUCACUACCAACUUGACCUCGAAUCAGGCGGGACUACCCGCUGAACUUAAGCAUAUCAUAAGGCCGGAGAGAA
RNAcentral lists this ribosomal RNA (631 nucleotides) under Peniophora sp. 1-14. RNAcentral's name for it is "eukaryotic LSU rRNA". The stretch from base 221 to 374 matches the Rfam family "5.8S ribosomal RNA". The record is from RNAcentral. Lineage: Eukaryota; Fungi; Basidiomycota; Agaricomycetes; Russulales; Peniophoraceae.